GUAAAAUUAUAUGGCCAGAUGGUUUGCUUUGUGAAAUAUUAAUCUUCCUUCCUUCCCUGGCCUCUCCUCUUCCUUUGUAGGGCAGCUGAACUCAAGAACAUUCACUACCAUGAGGAAGGGAUGACCCAGUGGAAACCGGAUGUCCCUUGCUGCUUUUUGGGUAUCAAAACUGCAGCAUGGGCGUGGCCUCAAGCUUGCAGUUCUCCUGCCUCAGCUUCCCAGAGAACUGGGACAAAACCACACCUAUAUUAUCCUGGACAAGUGUGGGCACCUACAAGAAAUCCAUUUCUCAGGAGCCAGAGAGGGGGCAACAGCCUCAGGAAGAGUCCUCAAGAGGCCCUGGCUUUCUAAAAUGAACCCUCAAAGCAUUGGUGUUACUGGUGCCAUCUCAGGGCAGGCUUGUCCUUGGCUGGUUCUAGUUUUCUUUUUAAUAUUUCAUUGUGGACAAUUUAAAAUAUAUACAAGAGUAGAGAGAGUAUCAUAAUGCCAGACCAACCUCAACAAGUAUCUGUCUCACUUUAUGUCUGUCGCCACCCACUGCCCACUACCAUUCUGAGUUAAAUGUCUGAUCCAGAUUUAUCUCAGCACACUUCUCUACUCUUUUCUUUACAUAACCAUAGUAUCACUGCCACACUAAAAAUAAGUCCUUAAUAUCACCAGAGAGCCCGUGAUUUCGCAUCUCCAGUUGCUUCGGACACGUGCUACAUGGGUUUAUAUUUUAGUUUGUUUGACUCAGAAUCCAGAUGAAGUUGGCUGAUAUAUCUAAGUUUCUUUCAAUCCAUAAUCUCUGCUCCUCUCUGUUAAAGAUUUGCUUUGUUGAAGAAAUAAAACGCUUGACCCG
Molecule: long non-coding RNA, 841 nt
Filed under: Chinchilla lanigera (long-tailed chinchilla)
Lineage: Eukaryota; Metazoa; Chordata; Mammalia; Rodentia; Chinchillidae
Description: lncRNA (ENSCLAG00000028415.1)
Source: RNAcentral